AUUGAACGCUGGCGGCAUGCCUUACACAUGCAAGUCGAACGGUAACGCGGGGCAACCUGGCGACGAGUGGCGAACGGGUGAGUAAUGUAUCGGAACGUGCCCAGUAGUGGGGGAUAGCCCGGCGAAAGCCGGAUUAAUACCGCAUACGACCUACGGGUGAAAGAGGGGAUCGCAAGACCUCUCGCUAUUGGAGCGGCCGAUAUCAGAUUAGGUAGUUGGUGGGGUAAAAGCCUACCAAGCCGACGAUCUGUAGCUGGUCUGAGAGCACGACCAGUCACACGGGCACUGAGACACGGGCCCGACUCCUACGGGAGGCAGCAGUAAGGAAUAUUGGUCAAUGGACGCAAGUCUGAACCAGCCAUGCCGCGUGGA
Molecule: ribosomal RNA, 372 nt
Filed under: uncultured bacterium
Lineage: Bacteria
Description: bacterial SSU rRNA
Rfam family: Bacterial small subunit ribosomal RNA
Source: RNAcentral